Molecule: long non-coding RNA, 697 nt
Organism: Eurytemora carolleeae
Lineage: Eukaryota; Metazoa; Arthropoda; Copepoda; Calanoida; Temoridae
Exons: 2
Source: RefSeq, a predicted model, not a curated record
AGAUGAUAUUAUCAGUUGUAGCUAAUCCUUGAGCAGCUCCGGAGUUCUAAACCAACUCUGUACCAUCAAAAGGGGAUUUUAUUGAUAUUCUAAAAUCAGAAUAGAGUUAUCAUUUUCUGACCAAGUCCUGGACCAGAAAGUUCAUCUACACCUACAGCUUAAAGCAGUUCCCUACAGAAGCAGCCUUCUACGGUUCUGCUCCAGACAGCUCUAAAGGUUCAUCUACACCUACAGCUUAAAGCAGUUCCCUACAGAAGCAGCAUUCUACAGUUCUGCUCCAGACUGCUCCGUGUUCUGAAGACUCAUCAAUUCCAGCAGUUUAGAAGCUCCCUAAAUUCCCCCACAGAAACUAACUACACAGUAAAAACACUCCUAUAUAUUCUGUAACAAGUUUUUACCAAUAAACAUUUUUCAACCACCACCAUGUAUCAUUUAAUUAGACCUAAGGUUUAACAAAUGGUGGGGCGCGAACCUGUUCCCAGUUACCUAUCGUUGUUUAAGCCUGUUUGCCUACCACCUGUUUAACUCUUGUUAUACCCCUGACCUGCAGAUCUUUUUGAACCUGUGGAAGAUUUAAGUUCGAGUUCUUGUUCCCGUUAUCCUGCUCCAUCAUUACAUACCAGAGAUUCCACAUGCUGUCACACCCGUCUAAUUAUAAUUGAAAUGAGCACAUUUGAAAUACCAAUUUUAGAGUUUA